CACGUAGGCGGCCUGGUAAGUCAGAUGUGAAAGCCCGGGGCUUAACCCCGGAACGUGCAUUUGAUACUGCUAGGCUUGAGUAUGGGAGAGGGAAGUGGAAUUCCUGGUGUAGAGGUGAAAUUCGUAGAUAUCAGGAGGAACACCGGUGGCGAAGGCGACUUCCUGGACCAAUACUGACGCUGAGGUGCGAAGGCGUGGGUAGCAAACA
RNAcentral lists this ribosomal RNA (208 nucleotides) under uncultured bacterium. RNAcentral's name for it is "partial 16S ribosomal RNA". It matches the Rfam family "Bacterial small subunit ribosomal RNA", at positions 568 to 774 of the family's 1533-position model. The record is from RNAcentral.